Long non-coding RNA from Scophthalmus maximus (turbot), 327 nucleotides. RefSeq lists it as uncharacterized. The transcript is spliced from 2 exons. NCBI's taxonomy places the organism in Eukaryota, Metazoa, Chordata, Actinopteri, Pleuronectiformes, Scophthalmidae. The record is from RefSeq and is a predicted model, not a curated record.
GAGGAAACCUUGGAGCCCAGUGCACUGGUCAGCCUGCAGGAAAACAAGGAUUAUAAAAUGUUGUCACCUGGAUCAAUUUGGUUUCUCCAUCGACAAUGCUGCACAUCUAACACUUUAGAAUUUGAGCUCACCAGUUUACGAGUCCUGUCCAGAACCAGGUCGAUUAUCUCCUUGCCAAUUGUGUAGUGACCACGAGCAUAGUUGUUUGCUGCAUCCUCCUUUCCGGUGAUCAGCUGCUCAGGAUGGAAGAGCUGUCGGUAGGUGCCUGUACGUACCUCAUCUGUAAUGUAAAGCAUUGCCAACACAUUAAAAUGUUUGCAAAUCCAA